This 1507-nucleotide long non-coding RNA is filed under the name Homo sapiens (human). RNAcentral's name for it is "HSALNT0303845". Lineage: Eukaryota; Metazoa; Chordata; Mammalia; Primates; Hominidae. The record is from RNAcentral.
AAGAGGAAGAAUGGAGACUGAAUCCACUGCCCAAUGUUGGAUUUCGAUUAGUCAACCCAGGCGUGGUUUGCCCCAGAGGAGCUUCCAGUCUCAAUUGACAGCAGGCCAAGAGUCGGGAAAGACACGGAAAACAAGUUUUUCAACAUCUCUGCAAUAGCAGCAUCAUUUUUCCAUCUCUAUGGUAGUCAUCAUCAAACAAUAUGAUCUGGUAAUAUCAUCCAUCUGCUUUGUAAUAAAGCCACAGUCACAGAGUCAUAUAAUUUUUGACCUGAAAAGGAACUUGACGGUUGCAUUGUUUGUGGAUAUUCUAAAGAUGAGGAAUGUAACUCCUAGAAGUUUCCCCUUGGAUUCCACAGCUCAUUACAGGAAUAAGAGGACUAGGACAUAGAUUUUCAGGUUGGCCGACUCGUGUAUGUGAGACCUGCUUGGGCUCCAGCUGCGGUUAAACAUGUCUGUGGGACCAGUAGCCUGACUUUCCAAUCAGAGCUUUGUUGCUGUGACUGCUGCUGUGGAGAUUCAAGCCACACACAAACCAGCUGAAGAGAAGGAAAUUUAUCUUAAGCUUGAGUAGGGUUCAUGGGAAUCUAAAAAUAGGAACUGCUUACUAUACAGCUGGUCCUCAUGGGGCCCCUACCUGGAAAAUUUAAGUGAAAGCAAUCUGUCAACAACUGGAUGAUUUCUCUACUAUAAGAACAGCCAAUAUUUACUGAGCUCUUAGCCCAUACCAAACACUUGUUAUGUGUGUGUGUGUGUGUGUGUGUGUGUGUGUGUGUGUGUGUGUGUGUGUCUGUACUGUGUAUAUUCAUUUGCAUUCCUUACCACAUUAUGACUAAGGUACUCUCAUCUUCCUUUAUAUAUGGAUGAGAAAACUGGUUCUUAAGAGUAGCCGAGAGACUUACCAAGGCCACAGGUUGAUAAUUACUAGAACAGGAAUUCAGAUGCAGGUGGAGUGCUCCCAAGGCCCACUUACUUCACCACUGCAAUGUUUUGUGUCCAGCAGAGAGCUUGCCCCAUUCUCUUCUCUGUGCAGAGCACUUGAUGUUUGAGCAUAAGAUAUGGGAUUAAAACCCAUCUUACCAAAACAAAAGGAUGGGAAUCUGACCUGAUUUUAUUAAAUCAAUUCUAGGAUGGCAGAAUUAUUUCUCCAUUUAGAGGAAAAAUAUAUUAUGUCCCAAUUUCUAACCUAUACUAUUUCUCCAAAUGAGCUAGUGGCAAGAUAACCAGGACAGGGUGAAUAGAUAUUUGUAAAGAGGAAAUGUCCAGGUAGCAAAGAUCCACCAGUCAUAGAUUUAUUUGCAUGGGGUUUUUUUUUUUUUUUUGUACUUGUCUUGCCAGAGACAAGAAUAAAAGGAAAUGAUUUAUGUGAAAUUCACAUAAAACAAAUGGCAUGUGAUUGCAUGAUCUGUCUAUAUGAAAUAGUUGUGCCUCAUCCUUCCUAACAGGAAGGAUGGAAAGAGGAAAAUCCUUUUCAGCUGGGUGCGGUGGCUCAUGCCUGUAAUUCCAACAC